Catharus ustulatus (Swainson's thrush) is the source of this 4151-nucleotide RNA transcript. It is a transcript of the gene named protein phosphatase 1 regulatory inhibitor subunit 2, with no coding region annotated. The transcript has 7 exons. The record is from RefSeq and is a predicted model, not a curated record. NCBI's taxonomy places the organism in Eukaryota, Metazoa, Chordata, Aves, Passeriformes, Turdidae.
GGUGGCGGCGGCGGAACCGGGCGGGCGGCGCGGCCAUGGAGGCGCCCUCGGUACCGGACGCCUCGGCGACGGGGCGGGGGCCCAUCAAGGGCAUCCUGAAGAAGAGCGGCAGCAAGGCGUCGUCGGGAGCCGCCGUGGGGGUGCGACAGACCAGCCAGGCCUGCGAUGAGGACGAGCCCGGUAAAAAAUCCCAGAAGUGGGAUGAAAUGAAUAUCAUAGCUACGUACCACCCUGCAGGCAAAGAUUAUGGCUUGAUGAAAAUCGAUGAGCCAAGCACUCCUUACCACAGCAUGAUAGGAGAAGAUGAUGAGGAUGCAGUGAGUGAUUCAGAAUAUGAGCCCUUAAGAGCAGAUGUGUUGAGUAAAAAACUGGCAGCUGCAGCUGAAGGUAGAGGACCCAAGAUUAUAGCAAGGCAAGAAGAAAGCAGUGAGGAGGAGGACGAGGAUGAAGAAUUAACACCUGAAGAACGGGAGAAAAAGAAACAGUUUGAAAUGAAGAGAAAAAUGCACUACAAUGAAGGAAGAAACAUCAAACUGGCAAGGCAGCUCAUUGCAAAAGAACUGCAUGGUGAAGAAGAGGAAGAUGAUGAGGAUGAAGAGAUGCGUGAUGCUGCAGAUGUAGAAACAAUGAGUACAGAAGCUACCGAACAUGGUGAGCUACUGAUUAAAUAAAAAGCACCUACUGAGAUUUCUUGCUGAUUGAAAUGAAGAUGGCCAGUCCAGUCAGUGAUGCACAUGUUACUCGUGACCAGCUGGAAAGUAGAGCACACAGCAUAGAAGAAAUCUGUCCAGAACUGUAACUGCUUGUCAAAGACACAAAUAUAAACAUCGCUUCAUGAUUUUUGCAAUUAAGGCUCUUAAAUGUUAAGAAGCAUAUCAGUUACAAUGUUGUAUUGCCAAGAAUGUUAAUUUUAGACUUGUCCAUUAGGCAGAAAACACUGUCUAAUUGAUUUUUUUCUUGUGCCUAGUAUUUCAUGGAGAAUACUGCUUCAUAAUUUGUUCAACCAGAAUGGCAUUCCCUGUAUGUAUAGCGCUGAUUAUCUUGCGUGAUGUAUUGUUUCUCUUGCUUUGAAACACUCACUAUCUUUUGGUUUUUCACUAUUUAUUUGAGAGUGUUCUAGAUGUGGUGUCUCAUACAGAAAGUUUUGGGAUUCAAGAGCCAAACGGUACAGCGUAUAUCAGAUUGACAUGUAAGCUAUUUAUCAGAUGUGUUAAGCAGUUUAAAAAGGGAUUAUUCAAGUCCUACAACUUUUUUUUUUGUAAAGUGUUGACCUGUUAAUCUAGAUUUCAGUACGUUUUUACUGCACUUUCCCAGUCUUUAGAACAAGAGCUGUGUUACUUCUUAAGAGCGGUGUUUGGAAUUGGUUGUUAGUUUCUGACUAAAGCAGUACUAACAUCUGGUGGAGGGAGUGUUUUUACACUGGAAACGGCUAACUUGAACUUUGCAUUUAACUUUCAUAACCUCUUCCAUCAGGACUGGUUGUUUUGUGGAGCUCUCUCUGGCUUAUUGUGAGAACGUGCAAGUUUCCUCCAGCUUUUCUCUUAAAAUCACAUCCACUGUUGUUCUUCUGGCUCUUGUUUCAAACGUUUGGUUCUUUCCAGUUGCAUGAACAGUGUUUGUGCUGUUAGCACCUGAGGAAAUACACCCAGCCACGACGAAAUAUACAUCAGGACUGAAGAUGUGCUGAGCUUAGGCUCUGGCUGUUCUUUAUUAAAGAUAACUGCUGUUGAUCUACUCAUUUGGGGUUGGCAACUUCCAUACUGAAAACCACUGGUCUAAAUCUUCCUGUGUCCAUUGCAACUUACAGCAACUGCUUUUGUAAAAUGAAGGCUUUUUGGAAGCUAGAAGGGAAACUGCUUAAUUCAAAUACCUGUUUACAGUGUGGUUGUAUAGCCGUAAAGAGGCAUUCUGCACCUCCAAAUUGCUGUAAAAACUUCCCACUGGGUAGAAUUUGACUGGUGAAUGUUCCAGUAUUCAGAGUAGUUUCUGGGUUUUAUUAUACAAACAAAGUACACACUUAAGCUUUAGCUUGAUUAUGAAAUACAGUGUAUAUCUUAAUUUUGAUCUGAAUUUGAUAUGUUGCAAAAAUCCAUAUAAUUAUAUGGAUCUAUUUUAAAAUGUCUUUUUCUCCACUGUAUAUGUGAAGUUUGAAUAAAGGAAUGAAAGUUAUUUUACAGUUACAUGCAUUCUCAAGUGUGAGCUUUCCUGGAGUUCCAGAGAAACUGAGAGUGAAUAAGGCAAUAGGAUGCUGUCCUUGCAAAGAUUUUUACAGGAGUGAUUCAUUAGACUGGAUGCAUUGCCAAAGAUACCUGUGAGUUGUGCUAACUGGGUUUUGUAGUGUGCCUUUCCCAACUCCUCUCCUUAGUAGGUAACAGGAUUGUCAGUUUUGAGUUAGUUAAUCUUCUAAGGUCCUGAAUCAAGAUUAAUAGGGUCUUUUCACAAGAAAGAGUUGAACUCUUGAUUCAGGCCAGUGUGGUGAUGCUAAUUUUUCAACAUGCAGGAUGCUAUUUCUUCUUGCAUCAAAUGUCACCUGCAUGGAGUAAACAGGGGUAAAGGGUAAGCAUUUAAAUACUUCUGACUGGCCAAGUCACUUACUGCUGCAUCUUUCAAUUUGGGCUCCCAAGAAUAGGAGUUCAAAACUUUAAGUUUGUACCCUUUAUAUACCAGCUUGCAAUGUCCAGAGUGUUGGCCUGUGUAGAGCUGUAGAGCUUUAUGAGCUGCUGGCCUGGCCUGCCCCACUGAGAGGGACAGUGAAAUCUGAAGUCUGCUGAGAGGAUGGCAGUGCUUGGCAAAGCCACAUCGUUGUCAGACUGAGCAUGGAUGUGGUGAGCAAUGUGUGCUGGUAACACCACUGUGAUCUGUGAGGCUUUGGAACAUAUCACUUGUACUUUGUGCUAAGUACCCAUGGGUACUUUGUACCUGCAAUUAAGGUAGAAUCUAGCAGCAGCAGCUCUUAACAGAGCUAAUGUCCUGCCCUCCUUAACCCCCCACUUUCUUGUGUCCAAGGCCACCUGGUGCUCAGCAGGGCUUCUUUGUACCUUACAAGGUCUAGAAAGCAUUUUGUUUAACAAACUUCGCUAACUUCCAAUAAAGACCUUUCCUGUAACAGCUUCCAAAAUCCCUAAUGAAAUGAGUAUGUAGCUUUGAGGGAGGUAGACGAAUACAUAAAGAUAGUUUUCAAUGAACUGCAUAAUGUAUAAUAGGUCCCUUCAUCACUCAGAUGAUUUUAAGCUGCUUGGGUGAUCUCCCUUUUUCUGUGCCACCAAGCACCUAAAUUCCAAGUUUGAUGCUAUUUUGAAACUUGAUUUAGUUUGAGUUUUUUUUAAAGGCUUUGUUCUCUUCAUUCUCCUCAGUGCUUGCAAAAAUUCUGUUCCCGGUGCUCCUUUGUCCUCCUCAGCAGAAGUGCAACCUGAUGUCCCUGACAUUGCUUCUAAUUGAAAGGCUGGUUUACUUGGUUUUCUCUGCUUACACCUUGAUGCAUUUUAAAAGCUAAGUCGAGAAAGUUUUAAUUUGCAGUAGCUCCAGAUACUCCAUAUAGCUUUUUUUACAAAGGGAUGUCUGACUUCCUUGUGCUUGAGAAAUAUUAGAGUUCCCUGCUGAAUGGGGACAGGAAAAGAAAUGCCUUUUCUCUUUUUACAUUUGAUGGGGACUUAGCUUUCAUGCACAUCUUCAUCUUUAGGUGCAUAUGGUAAAGAUUCCUGUGUACAAUAUAGAGUGGUGUAAAGAGGAAAUAAACACAGCCCUUACUUAUAUGGACAGUGAGCUCCACAGCACCAUAAUUGUGAAUCUUCUUGCACAGGUUUUAGUCCUCAAGCUGCAUCCUGUUUAGAGAAAGCAUUUUCAAUAUGCUUCCAAUAGGAAGAUCAAUUGCAAAUAAGAGCCUUAACUCAUUUGUAUAGAUUUUUUUGUGUCUUUAGUUUCUUUCCCACCAACUUGUACACAAUUCAUGGAAACUGCAGAUACUUUUUCCACAGUUCACUCUCUCAUGUGAAACUUGUACAUCUUACCAGAACUCUUUGUUUCUGUAACAUGCUUUUUGUGGUAUUAUGAUGCCACCUCACAAUGUAAUUAUUCUGUUUGAAACCAGUGUUGAGUGUCACAACAUAAAUAAAACCAUUGUUUUCAUUACUGCCUUAUGGCACUAAUACUAA